AGAGGAGGCGCCGAGAGCAAGCGAGGGCUGUGAGGACUGCCAGCACACUGUCACCUCUUACUACUUUCCCAUAAAUUCUUUGGCAUAUGAAGAAAGGGAAAGAGAGAGAAAGAAGAAAAGAAAGGGACAAAAGAGGGAAGAGAGGAAAAGAGGAAAACAUCAACACAGGUCCAGGACUUGGUUUCCAAGAAGCCCCUGUACAUGG
This 205-nucleotide long non-coding RNA is filed under the name Homo sapiens (human). Its description in RNAcentral is "HSALNT0162981". Lineage: Eukaryota; Metazoa; Chordata; Mammalia; Primates; Hominidae. The record is from RNAcentral.